AUUGAACGCUGGCGGCAGGCCUAACACAUGCAAGUCGAGCGGAUGAAGGGAGCUUGCUCCUGGAUUCAGCGGCGGACGGGUGAGUAAUGCCUAGGAAUCUGCCUGGUAGUGGGGGAUAACGUCCGGAAACGGGCGCUAAUACCGCAUACGUCCUGAGGUAGAAAGUGGGGGAUCUUCGGACCUCACGCUAUCAGAUGAGCCUAGGUCGGAUUAGCUAGUUGGUGGGGUAAAGGCCUACCAAGGCGACGAUCCGUAACUGGUCUGAGAGGAUGAUCGGUCACACUGGAACUGAGACACGGUCCAGACUCCUACGGGAGGCAGCAGUGGGGAAUAUUGGACAAUGGGCGAAAGCCUGAUCCAGCCAUGCCGCGUGUGUGAAGAAGGUCUUCGGAUUGUAAAGCACUUUAAGUUGGGAGGAAGGGCAGUAAGUUAAUACCUUGCUGUUUUGACGUUACCAACAGAAUAAGCACCGGCUAACUUCGUG
This 484-nucleotide ribosomal RNA is filed under the name uncultured bacterium. RNAcentral describes it as "partial 16S ribosomal RNA". It matches the Rfam family "Bacterial small subunit ribosomal RNA", at positions 30 to 507 of the family's 1533-position model. The record is from RNAcentral.